AUGUCGGUUAAGUCCCGCAACGAGCGCAACCCUUAUCCCUAGUUGCCAUCAGGUAAAGCUGGGAACUCUGGGGAGACUGCCGGUGAUAAACCGGAGGAGGGUGGGGACGACGUCAAAUCAUCAUGCCCUUUAUGUCCUGGGCUACACACGUACUACAAUGGCCGUUACAACGGGAAGCGAAGGAGCAAUCCGGAGCAAAUCCCUUAAAGGCGGUCCCAGUUCAGAUUGUGGGCUGAAACUCGCCCACAUGAAGGCGGAAUUGCUAGUAAUUGUAGAUCAGCAUGCUGCAGUGAAUACGUUCCCGGGCCUU
RNAcentral lists this ribosomal RNA (310 nucleotides) under uncultured Paenibacillus sp. RNAcentral describes it as "bacterial SSU rRNA". It matches the Rfam family "Bacterial small subunit ribosomal RNA", at positions 1072 to 1382 of the family's 1533-position model. Lineage: Bacteria; Bacillati; Bacillota; Bacilli; Caryophanales; Paenibacillaceae. The record is from RNAcentral.